CAACUAGGAUGUUAGCUUAGAAGCAGCUAUUCAUUCAAAGAGUGCGUAAUAGCUCACUAGUCGAGUGACCCUGCGCCGAAAAUGUACCGGGGCUAAAACAAUUUACCGAAGCUGUGGAUAACACUUAGGUGUUAUGGUAGGAGAGCGUUCUAUGUGUGAAGAAGGUAUACCGUGAGGAGUGCUGGAACGCAUAGAAGUGAGAAUGCCGGUAUGAGUAGCGCAAGAUGGGUGAGAAUCCCAUCCACCGUAAGACUAAGGUUUCCAGGGGAAGGCUCGUCCGCCCUGGGUUAGUCGGGACCUAAGGAGAGACCGAAAGGUGUAUCCGAUGGACAACAGGUUGAUAUUCCU
RNAcentral lists this ribosomal RNA (348 nucleotides) under Streptococcus suis. RNAcentral's name for it is "partial 23S ribosomal RNA". It matches the Rfam family "Bacterial large subunit ribosomal RNA", at positions 1090 to 1440 of the family's 2925-position model. Lineage: Bacteria; Bacillati; Bacillota; Bacilli; Lactobacillales; Streptococcaceae. The record is from RNAcentral.